RNAcentral lists this long non-coding RNA (2420 nucleotides) under Gadus morhua (Atlantic cod). RNAcentral's name for it is "lncRNA (ENSGMOG00000031820.1)". The record is from RNAcentral. Lineage: Eukaryota; Metazoa; Chordata; Actinopteri; Gadiformes; Gadidae.
ACAGAUCUUGCUUGCAUCAAAUGCUGCUUUGAGGGUCACUCAACACGGAUGCUUCCUGUUGCAUCCAGGAGGCCACCGGACCACUCACCACAGGAGCUGAUGCACAUUCUUCAUGCUGAACUUUACACCGUUGUCCCACCAUCCACUGAAUUGAACACCAUUCAGACUCAUGGCUGUAUCAGCAGUGACAUGCGUGUGGUGUGUAGAGACUCCAACGGUUGUGUCAGUGUUCUCUCGCUAACGGCGCCGGGGCUAGAGACCACGGCCCCAGGGGAAGGCUCUGAGGCCUGGAUCACAGCCAUCUCCUUCUAGGACACCCAGCUGCUCUACUCAGGUAACCCCCCCCCACACACACACGCCACCGGUUUCACUCACUUUUAGAAGUGGGGCAGGGUAGGCUAAAGCAGAUAACAUGAAUUCAGACUAGGGAUCGACCGAAUAUAUCGGUCGGCCGAUAUUAUCGGACCGAUAUUCGCGUUUUUUACGUGUAUCGUAUCGGCCGAUACGCGGCUGAUUUUCGCCGAUAUUUUUUCACUUUUUUUUUUUUUACUUGUUCUACCUCACCUGUUUUUAAUAUUUGUUAAAUAUUGCUCAUCAAAUUUUUCUUACUUGUUUUACCUCACCUGUUUUUAAUAUUUGUUAAAUAUUGUUUUUUAUAUUGAAGUUCAAUAAAUGUUCCUUUUUUUAAAUUGAGACUUGUAACAUUUGUUAUCAGUGUAAUUUUUAUGAUUGAGGGAGCAAAAGCAGUAUCGGCUCUAAAUAUCGGUAUCGGCGUAUCAGAGUAUCGGCUAAGGCUGAUGAAAAAAUAUCGGUAUCGUAUCGGCCCUAAAAAAUCUGUAUCGGUCGAUCCCUAAUUCAGACUUAUAGAUUUUAUUAUAAAAAACAAUACUUUAUAAAAAAAAUAUUUUUUUUUAAUUUGAGCUGCUAUAAUGCCGUUUCCCCUCGGUGAUGAAUGAAGUACAUAUGUAUUUAUGUAUCUAUCAAUAUAGUUGUUGGGGUGUUUGUCUCCCAGCUGAAAAAGUAUUUGAAUCAACCACCAAUGUCGCUGGAGAGGGAGGCCCAGAAAGGGCCAUCAAGGCCUCAAUUCAGUCAAACUACAGGAGUCGGAUGAUAAGCAUAUUAACUAAAGUUGUGUGUGUGUGUGUGUGUGUGUGUGUGUGUGUGUGUGUGUGUGUGUGUCACAGCAAGCUGAAAGGCUGGGACCCCAGGAUGGAGCUCUCCUCUCCCACUUUCACCAGCAAGAGAAGAUGCUGCUGCUACUGCUGCUGCCUCAGCACUACACUUGACGAGAGUCUGCACUACGGUCUGUCCAAAGGCUGCAUCCCACAUGGCCGGUGGAACUACGUGCUCUUUAGCACAGGGGUCCAGGACCUCCUUGUCCCCAGUCUGGGAGGGUCCUGAACCCCACGGCCUGGACCCCCUUGGGGGAGGGGGGAAUUAAUUUGGCCUUUUCAAAUUGAAAUAAUAAAUGGAAAGGCAUGGCUUGGACAAUCUCUCCAAAGGCUAAUGCCUCCUUUGCUCUCAUUUAAUAACUGGAGGAGAGACCCUAGCUGCUCCUUCUGGCCCGCAUAUGCAUGGCGCUUAUAGGGAGGCCAACCUCUAAGCUGUGAGGUUGGGCUCCCGGGAGAUGCCAAGGCCGGGUCUCUGCCUCCAGGGCGUACACAAACAAGUGUGUCUUGUUGACUGGAGGAGAGUCCAUAGCUGCUACUUUGGCCCGAUAUGCAUGGCGCUUAUAGGGAGGCCAACCUCUAGCGGUGAGGUUGGCCUCCCGGGAGAUACCAUGGCCCGGGUCUCUGCCUCCAGGUGGGGGCGGGGACUUGUACAGGGUCAGUGAUGUAUGUUGUCUGUUGUAGUUGUUUCAUGUUUGUUGGUUUUAAUAAAUCCAGUUUCUGACUAAACUGAAGUGUUUAUUGAUGUGUUGAUAUGAAUUUAAAUGGUAUAUCCUCUGGAUUCAUUGCAUGUUUGUGGCUAUAAUUAUCAACCCUGUAAUGCAAAGACAGGCUUCAAACAUUGCUUUCAGGAAAACCUGGCCUGUCAUGAGUAUUUGUGCUGCGGUGAUAUCGUUUGAAAGUAAAAACUUAUGAUGGGACAACAAAGUCAAACGGAAAUUGAAUCUCACAAUUAUAUAUGUUACCAAAACAAAGUUGGUGCUUUUUGGCUUAAACUCAAAAGUACAAAUCUACCCAUACUAUAUACAGUAUAACUACACAAAACAGCGUAUACAAUGUACAGUAUAUUAUACUUUCAUACAGGUGAUCAAACCAAGGAUCCGCUCUCUACAAUGUCCCAUGUGGAGCAAAGGUUAUCUUAUGAAAAGGUAAGAAAGCCCUUCAGUGUCUACUACUGACGGUACACUUGACAGUGUAGUACGGUCUACAGCUAUGCUUAGAACGCUUCCGAACAUCGCCGAAACUCCACCG